Molecule: long non-coding RNA, 478 nt
Organism: Bos taurus (domestic cattle)
Lineage: Eukaryota; Metazoa; Chordata; Mammalia; Artiodactyla; Bovidae
Source: Ensembl
GUAAUAACAAGAUUUAAUAUAAACUUUGAAAAGUAAAAUGAAGUCUAUGAAACAAAUAAGGGUGAAAACCAGAUGAGUUGGGAGGCUACUGGAGUAAACAAAAGUCAAGGCUCCAAGUCAUCUGAGGAAAGCAGAAGUCUGUUAGAAGUCUGAAUAGGAGAGUCCCAGAAUAGAAGAAGCCAAGGAUUGAAGCAAGAGAGAUCAGAUAGACCAGCUAGGCAAGAAGUGGAAGAUGAACUUGGACAUGAGAGGAUGAGAACCUUUGGUUCAACAGUGGGAGGAAAAAGGAUCUUCCAUCAGGAGGAUCAGGGAGCUGGCAGCAAGCAGCCUCAGGGCUGUGCUUCAGCAAUGAAGGACCAGUUCUCCUGCCCAUUCCCAUCACCUCUACAUCAUCUAUGGACAACACCCAUUCAAUGAUCUGGCCCCUAGACUAAGCUUCCAGAAGGAAGGUGGAUGGACAGCUUCUGUGGCAAUGACC